AAAGUGGCAUACGCCACUGCCAUGGAUUGGUUCAUUGCUGUGUGUUAUGCCUUC
Callorhinchus milii (elephant shark) is the source of this 54-nucleotide non-coding RNA. The record is from Rfam. Lineage: Eukaryota; Metazoa; Chordata; Chondrichthyes; Chimaeriformes; Callorhinchidae.